CCUACGGGUGGCAGCAGUGGGGAAUAUUGCACAAUGGGGGAAACCCUGAUGCAGCGACGCCGCGUGAGUGAAGAAGUAUUUCGGUAUGUAAAGCUCUAUCAGCAGGGAAGAAAAAAGACGGUACCUGACUAAGAAGCCCCGGCUAACUACGUGCCAGCAGCCGCGGUAAUACGUAGGGGGCAAGCGUUAUCCGGAUUUACUGGGUGUAAAGGGAGCGUAGACGGAGAAGCAAGUCUGAAGUGAAAGCCCGUGGCUUAACCACGGGACUGCUUUGGAAACUGUUUGACUAGAGUGCUGGAGAGGUAAGUGGAAUUCCUAGUGUAGCGGUGAAAUCCGUAGAUAUCUGGAGGAACAUCAGUGGCGAAGGCGACUAUCUGGCACAUAACUGACGCUGAGGAGCGAAAGCGUGGGUAGCAAACAGGAUUAGAUACCCUUGUAGUC
This 441-nucleotide ribosomal RNA is filed under the name uncultured bacterium. RNAcentral's name for it is "partial 16S ribosomal RNA". It matches the Rfam family "Bacterial small subunit ribosomal RNA", at positions 338 to 795 of the family's 1533-position model. The record is from RNAcentral.